This is a long non-coding RNA of Hyaena hyaena (striped hyena), 385 nucleotides long. RefSeq lists it as uncharacterized. Lineage: Eukaryota; Metazoa; Chordata; Mammalia; Carnivora; Hyaenidae. The record is from RefSeq and is a predicted model, not a curated record. The transcript has 3 exons.
AACCUAGCAUAUGAAAAUAGCCAAUAACUGUGAGCUUGCUAUCUUUAUCAGUGACAUGAACGUGCCUGGGGAGCAGAGGAUAAGUAGAAUUCAGAGACCCACACAGAGAUUUGAGGAGCAACAGCAGAUGUAGAAGGCAGAGAUAAAAGAACAAGAUGACACAGGAAGGAAGGAAACUGGCGAAUGCUGAUCUCAUGCCAUGUGCCAAGAAAGGUGCUAGAUGUUUAUGCCAUUAUUUUAUUUGUCCAGCAACAAAUAUAUGAGAGCAAAACCACAUCCUUAUUUUACGGGACACAGCAAGAAGGCAGCAGCCAUCUGCAAGCCAGGAAGAAUGUCUUUACCAAGAACCCAAUCUGCUGGCAUCUUGAUCUUUGACUUCCCACCC